UGGYUUACCUCCUCAGUUAUGCGUCAAGGCUUGUAUCGCCUAGAGCGUAUUGUUGGUUUUYUGUAUUGGAUACCUAAUCGAAGGUAUUAUUUUGAUCGAUUGGAGUCCCUUUUCGUCUUGUGUUGCAUUUUGUGUCGCAUGAUGAACUUUGAAGCGGUCUCUAUGAUCCAUCACGUUGAUGCACUUGCAUUGAUGUUGUGGCCCAUUGAGCUUUGUUUGGUUUCUUGGAUAUGGAACAUGAAGUGGGCAUGGGGCUGUCAUGAUCCUCUUUUUGCCCUCGUAUGGUGUUCUCSAACGACGGGUCAUGCGCGCCUAGGCUCGUACCU
Molecule: unclassified non-coding RNA, 326 nt
Filed under: Tephroseris integrifolia subsp. integrifolia
Lineage: Eukaryota; Viridiplantae; Streptophyta; Magnoliopsida; Asterales; Asteraceae
Description: partial external transcribed spacer
Source: RNAcentral